CUACGGGAGGCUGCAGUGGGGGAUAUUGCACAAUGGGCGAAAGCCUGAUGCAGCAACGCCGCGUGAAGGAAGACGGAUUUCGGUCUGUAAACUUCUAUCAGCUGGGAAGAAAAUGACGGUACCAGACUAAGAAGCCCCGGCUAACUACGUGCCAGCAGCCGCGGUAAUACGUAGGGGGCAAGCGUUAUCCGGAUUUACUGGGUGUAAAGGGUACGUAGGCGGUCGCUUAAGUCAGAUGUGAAAGCCCGAAGCUCAACUUCGGGACUGCAUUUGAAACUGGGUGACUAGAGUACAGGAGAGGAAAGCGGAAUUCCUAGUGUAGCGGUGAAAUGCGUAGAUAUUAGGAAGAACACCAGCGGCGAAGGCGGCUUUCUGGACUGUAACUGACGCUGAGGUACGAAAGCGUGGGGAGCGAACAGGAUUAGAUACCCUCGUAGUC
Molecule: ribosomal RNA, 439 nt
Filed under: uncultured bacterium
Lineage: Bacteria
Description: partial 16S ribosomal RNA
Rfam family: Bacterial small subunit ribosomal RNA
Source: RNAcentral